UUCAUGCUUCCUUUUGGAAGGAAUGUAACCCGCACUUUAGCUGCUCCAUAUUUUGUGUCUCUUUUUCUAUUUCUUCCUCUCUUCCUGGGUGUUUUUCACUUCCAGGGAUGCCACACAGAGCCGCAGUAGCUCUGGGCUCCAUUUUUCCCCUGAGGUGACCAUGUCCUUUUUCCCACCUCAGCUCCUCUUGAGGUGCAGGGAGGGUUCUGCUGAGGCACCUGGGCUGGCAGGUGUGCAGGGACCCCAACGUGCAUAGGAGCAAGAAAACUGCCAUAAAAAUGUCCUUGCCUUGCCCUGGGGUGCACACCAGCCCUAGAGCCAGAGAGGCUCAGCGGAAAGCCGUGAGGGGAGAGUGCUGUGCCCCCACACCCCUGCACAUCAAAUGGCGGCCGCGCUGCAGGGCGGGAAGGGCCCCGUGAGGGAGGCCAAGGCCGAGCUUGCUGCUGCUGCAGUGCCACGUUCUUUAACUGGAACUGCUGCAUUUGUUGGAUCCAGGCUCCCACUGUGCAGACACAAAGAACAGUCAGCAGUGAGGGCACCAGGCCUCAAAGCUGCAACAUGAGCUGCAGGAGCUCUGCUUGCCCCCGACAUGAUGCUUUUAGCAGUCACUAUUUAUGCCUAUCGACUGCCUGAACAUGGACAUCUGUGAGCCAGACUCUGCCCUGCUGGAAAUGCACACUGGUUUAAGGAGCCAGCAAGAAGCUUUAUCAUCUCACUGGGAGUCUAUCAAUUCCCAGAAUCAUCCCCAAAGACCAGACAAUGUUCUAUUGGUGUGAAUACCAGAAAUCAAUUUUAGCAUGGAUGCCAGAGAUUAAUCAUCACUACUCUUGUCUGUUCUGUCUCCAAGCUAAACAAUUUGAUGAUAGUGUCUCAUUCUAUGAUGGUAAGUAACCACUAUUUGGUGAUUUCAUUUUUAUUGGCUUCACUGAAGUAUCCAUGAAGGGUCCAGGCUGAAGACCAAGAGAUUAUGGCAAACAGAAGGUUUUAUUUAUUUUGCAUUGUUUAAGUUACUUCAGAUACUCUGAAAUCUAAUUCAGAUGUGAGGUGGAGGAGUGCAUUUCGAAAAUGUGGGAUAUGUACCAGUGCUGACAAUCACAAAUGGAAUCCUGCCCACAGCAAGUACACUUGAUGUUUGUAGUGGUCUCUCAGCUGUCUCCUGCCUUAUCCAUCUAUUAGCAUUGCUUUAGGCUUGCUGACAAGGUAAUAUGACAAUUUCAGCACAAAAUAGGUGCUAAGCAAAGAGGACUCUAAACGGGCCACCUACUUACUGUGGAGAGCGUGACUGUUUCUGCAUGAAAUCCUUUUUUUGCUGUUUGGGAGAAUUCAAAUGUGAUUUUCUGUUCUUUGUGUCUAAGAUAAUAUGACAAGAACUAUAGCUGAGGGGAAGGAGAAUGAGGACUCUGGAUUAGAAAUGUGUUUAUUUCUCUAGGCAGAAGGUUGAUUGACAAGCUGAGUGGUAUCCAGUAUAAAACUCACUAAAUUUGGGAGCUUACUGAAGUAAAAUGAUGCUGUAACUAAGGCACCCCUGCAGCUGCCAUGGCACUAGCAGAGUGGACUAUCCUUUAGGUUUUCACUUACUCUUUUUUGUGUUAAUGCCUACAAAGGUGACCUUCUAUAGAAACAAAAGAUUAUUUCUAAAGGAAUAAUUAUUUUCUUAGACAUGGAAAAUCAGCAAACAGUGAGGCUGUGAUGAUACAGUCAUCUUUAUUUAUUACAAACUGACUGAACAUCUCCCACAGGAGUUUUUUACCAUGGAUCUCUUCUUUCUCGAUAAGGACCUUUAAAUACUCUAUCACUUAUUUGAAAAGCAUCCAUGUGAGUGUGUAUUUAUGUCUGUCUCACCCUUUUCCCCUUAAUGCAUUUUAUUUCCUGCAUAUAUGAGAGGUGUAUUGAUGCAGAAUAAGAACUGCUACGUGUUUGGUUUCCUUGCUGGUGUUCAUUUCUCUCCAGGUCCAACCCACCCUCCUGGAACUCAUGAAAUAGCCAGAUCACAGACUUUCCAGUUUAAUCACUAUUUCUUUUCUCUUAAAUAAAGAUCUUGUUACAAUAAACAAAGAGCAGUGUUACUAAUAAAGUCUCUGCUGUUAAUAUUUAAGAACUGUUAUAUGUUAAAAAGAUACUCAAUUUUAAGUACUCAAGAUUUAUUUUAGUUGUGUUUGUUAAAGAAACCAGAAGUGCUUAUAUAACUUUGAUACAUUUUUAAGACUUUAAAAUAUGCAUAAACUCCAGCCAAUUUUCUCUGAUCACAGCAUAGAGUUUCACCUUUUUGAUACACCAGAUGGAAGUCAACAUCUAAUGGUGCUCUGGUUAAAACUGUUUUAAAUACUACAGAACAGUAAAACCCCACACACCUCAGUAGAAUUCCUGCUUGCACUACAGAAGACAAGAUUUUAAAAUAAAGGAAUUGAUGCUGAAAUAGAAUUGAAAAGUUAAAUCUGUUUAUUUCAAUUUAAAGAACUUAACUGCAACCAGAUUUAAAAAAGGUUUAACCCAAGCACAUUUCAGCCAUUUCAAAUUUUAAGGUAGUUAGAAUAUAAUCACAUUGCACUGUUUCUAUGCUGCACUUUCCCUCACAUUAAAAAAAUGUUUACUACAGUACAAUUUGACUCUGAUUAGAAAAGUGGAAAAUACAGUGUACAGAAGUGCCUGGAAGAAGUUUAUUCAUUGUCAUGUAGGCUCAUCUUGGGCAAGAUCAGACAACCCUGUGAGCUUGUCAGCAGAGAGCUGAGCCCUGCAGGUCUGUGGCAGCACUGAUGGAUGUGAGCUCAGCAGCACGAGGGGCUUUGGUACUGCAGGUCAGCCAGAGCACGUCUGAAACCCUUUCAUCCUUUUCACAAGGAGCUUCUAACUAUGAGGAUGCUAAAUAUGCUACUUAAAAUGAUAUUCUGGGACAGGUGCAGGUGAGAGCUCUUCUUGGGCAGUUCUGCCUCUGCAGUUAUAUCCCCACAUGCUGAUGAUGCCCUGGCUGAGCUGUAAACACAGUUCCACACAGUUCUAAUGGAGAAGACCUGAUAGUAGCAUUACUAUACCAAUUUUUAUAAAAUAACUUAUGACAGUCCAUAAUGGAUACUUCUAAACCACAAAGAUUAAAAGGUAAUUUUUGAAUAGAGGAUUUUAACUUCAUAUGUGAUGUCUUAAAAAUUUGAAAGAUACUCUUGAUUUUUUAUGCAUAAGAAAAUGUAUUUUGAACCAAGCAUGGAAAUAUUUAUUAAUGGAGAUUUCAGACUGAACAAAUUUCUUGAUUAAGUUGCUGUUGCUCUCUGAAAUGUCAGAACAAUUUUCUUGCAACAGAACAAUUUUCUUGCCAAAAAACCAUUUAUUGUAUGAAUAUUAGCUGGAAAGUCUGAGAAGGAGGAAAAAAACCCAGACCCCAAUUUUCUGCUAUUCACUUUCAUGACAGUCUUUUGAUUUGUUCCCUUUUAGCUCAGUCAUUGCUUUUCCUCACUGUCUCAUGUACAAAGCAAACUGCAUACCAAAGCCACACACUUUAUAUGAUUCAGAAGUUGGAAAGGAGUAGAGAUAUUAUUGCAAUUUAUUUCAAUAACAUAAUGUCAGCAGGUUGCCUUCCUUUCAUUUUGGCAAGAUAAUAAUUCUUAUAAAUGCUACUUUAAUACACAAUUCUUUACACACUUUAUGUUCUGCUCACACCAUAUGUUACAUUAAAUGCUAGAGAAAACUAAGUUUUGAAGAGUCUUUAUUGGGCCUCAUUUUCUUUCAAAUAUUAACAAAGAAGAAAAUUAUACUAGACAUGAAGCUGCAUCCACAUACGAGUUUACACUUCAUUCCAAAAAUGUAUUUAGAAAUUGUUCUAUCUUUGUUAUGGUCUUCUUACAGUGUAUGAUUAGGCUAGCUGAAAUAUAUAUACAAAAACAUAACAGGAUUGGAGUAACAGAAUUCUCUGAAUUGCCUGCAGAAAUAAGGGUUUACCUCACAAAGUAAAAUGUUCACUUUUCUACAAAAAGCAAGUCUAGUUAUAUCUGAAACAAACUAUAUGGAGAGUAUAAUAAAGCUUGAAUGUUUAGGUGAAAGUUGUUCGAAAGGAAAAUCCAUAUGACAUUGAAAGAUAUGGUUUUAUUAGUGAAGCAACUGGUAGAGCCCAUGGCUGCUACACCAUUUUAGAAAGAGAACAGAUACAUUUCUGUGUAUUUGAGUAAAUGUCUUGAAGAAUAGCAUUAUGUGAGUCAGAAUAGAAAAUUACUGGGGAAAAUACAUGUAGCCUACCUUUCUCUCACUCUGCUCAAGUAUCCAAAGGAACACAGAUUGGGUAUCUAUGAAAAGAUAUAAUUACAGUUUUUUAAAAUGUGUCAUCCAUCCUCUUUCAUUCUACAGCUAAAUUAGCACAACCCAAGCAUGCAGUAAAAAUAUGAAGCAUAAAAUUAGGACUAUUUUAUCUAUCUAUAUGUAAUACAGAGUCAAUGUUUAGAAUGAGUAUGGGAAGGUCAAGGCCUUGACAAAAUCCUACUGGAAACCUGCAGGACUUUGGUGGAAAAUCCUACUGGGUCUUUUACAAAGUGAGAAGCCUGAAGUCUCCUCUGAGCUUCGGCGGGCACAGCGGCUGGCUGCUCGCUGCAAACAAGAAGACUUGUUGCCAAACCACACUGUUGCCAAAUCCCUAACGGGCCUGCUCUGCUGGGGCCUCACCCCCCAAGGUGUUGAAGGCUGCACCGAGGUUUUCCAGGAUUCUUUGCACCAAGGGAAGGGCUUCUGCCAGGUUUGUGAAACAAACUCCACAGCAGUUAGAAUUGUUUCAGAGCAAGCAGAUAGAUUCCACCUGGUUCUCUUGAAACUUAGAGGAAAGCUUCACUACUACUUGGUGAUUAAUUUUAUCAUGUUCUCUUUAACAUAGAAGCUAUAGCCACCUUAAGAUUUUAAAACAGCUGUUGUAUAUGCGAGAAAAUUCAGCAGCGCUGUGCCUCACGUUGCAAAGUGGGGAGUUUUCUCCUGAAAUGGGCUACUGUGUAAACCAUGGGUUUGCAGCUACCAGCAGUAACAAAUAACAAGUGCUUUCAAAGCAGCACUAGAACUGGAGUGUUCCUGUAUUUCUAACUGUAAGCCUGUCUUUGUUUCCAGAGAAUAAGGAAUUCUGAGAAAAGGAGACAGGUCUUUGGAAUGACAUAUGCUUUCCACCUUCGUCUUAGUA
Long non-coding RNA from Passer domesticus (house sparrow), 5140 nucleotides. RefSeq lists it as uncharacterized. The transcript is spliced from 3 exons. The record is from RefSeq and is a predicted model, not a curated record. NCBI's taxonomy places the organism in Eukaryota, Metazoa, Chordata, Aves, Passeriformes, Passeridae.